RNAcentral lists this ribosomal RNA (808 nucleotides) under uncultured bacterium. Its description in RNAcentral is "bacterial SSU rRNA". It matches the Rfam family "Bacterial small subunit ribosomal RNA", at positions 95 to 878 of the family's 1533-position model. The record is from RNAcentral.
GUGGCGCACGGGUGAGUAACGCGUGGGUAACCUGCCCUUGAGUUGGGGAUAACCCCGCGAAAGCGGGGCUAAUACCGAAUAAUAUGUCAGUUUCUAUGGGGAUUGAAAUCGAAGGUAGCCUCUGCAUGCAAGCUAUUGCUCAAGGAUGGGCCCGCGUACCAUUAGCUUGUUGGUAGGGUAACGGCCUACCAAGGCAACGAUGGUUAGCUGGUCUGAGAGGAUGGCCAGCCACACUGGAACUGAGACACGGUCCAGACUCCUACGGGAGGCAGCAGUGGGGAAUCUUGCGCAAUGGGGGAAACCCUGACGCAGCAACGCCGCGUGGGUGAUGAAGGCCUUCGGGUCGUAAAGCCCUGUCAGGUGGGAAGAAACAUGUCGAUGCGAAUAACAUCGGCAUUUGACGGUACUACCGGAGGAAGCACCGGCUAACUCCGUGCCAGCAGCCGCGGUAAUACGGAGGGUGCAAGCGUUGUUCGGAAUUAUUGGGCGUAAAGCGCGUGUAGGCGGUUGAGUAAGUCAGAUGUGAAAGCCUUCCGCUCAACGGAAGAAGUGCAUUUGAAACUGCUCGGCUAGAGUACGGGAGAGGAGAGUGGAAUUCCCGGUGUAGAGGUGAAAUUCGUAGAUAUCGGGAGGAACACCAGUGGCGAAGGCGGCUCUCUGGUCCGAUACUGACGCUGAGACGCGAAAGCGUGGGGAGCAAACAGGAUUAGAUACCCUGGUAGUCCACGCCGUAAACGAUGGGCACUAGGUGUAGGAGGUAUUGACCCCUUCUGUGCCGAAGCUAACGCAUUAAGUGCCCCGCCUGGGG